CCUACGGGAGGCAGCAGUGGGGAAUAUUGCACAAUGGGGGAAACCCUGAUGCAGCAACGCCGCGUGAAGGAAGACGGUUUUCGGAUUGUAAACUUCUGUUCUUAGGGAAGAAUAAUGACGGUAGCGAAGGAGCAAGCCACGGCUAACUACGUGCCAGCAGCCGCGGUAAUACGUAGGUGGCAAGCGUUGUCCGGAAUUACUGGGUGUAAAGGGAGCGCAGGCGGGAAGCCAAGUCAGCUGUGAAAACUACGGGCUUAACUUGUAGACUGCAGUUGAAACUGGUGUUCUAGAGUGAAGUAGAGGUUGGCGGAAUUCCGAGUGUAGCGGUGAAAUGCGUAGAUAUUCGGAGGAACACCGGUGGCGAAGGCGGCCAACUGGGCUUUAACUGACGCUGAGGCUCGAAAGUGUGGGGAGCAAACAGGAUUAGAUACCCUAGUAGUC
This 441-nucleotide ribosomal RNA is filed under the name uncultured bacterium. RNAcentral describes it as "partial 16S ribosomal RNA". It matches the Rfam family "Bacterial small subunit ribosomal RNA", at positions 338 to 795 of the family's 1533-position model. The record is from RNAcentral.